Branchiostoma belcheri (Belcher's lancelet) is the source of this 272-nucleotide long non-coding RNA. RefSeq lists it as uncharacterized. The record is from RefSeq and is a predicted model, not a curated record. Lineage: Eukaryota; Metazoa; Chordata; Leptocardii; Amphioxiformes; Branchiostomatidae. The transcript has 3 exons.
CGUUGGUACGGCAGUGGACUGUACUCCAAGGUUAAAGCAAAGAGAGCCCGACCAUUUACCAAGUUUCAAACGCUGCAUGACCGCAGUGCCUAUCUGUCGAUCCCGCUCUACAGGCGCGCCGUCAAUGAAAUCUUUAAGGACGCUGAGACGGAGGCUACGCACCCUCCUCUACCCCGGGCCUACAAAACGUCCAUGCAUGAUACAUGGGGGGCCCCUAAAUACGGGACAGUGGACGAGUUUGCUUCACCGGCAUCGUACUAUCCCGUUGAUUG